This 252-nucleotide ribosomal RNA is filed under the name uncultured bacterium. RNAcentral describes it as "partial 16S ribosomal RNA". It matches the Rfam family "Bacterial small subunit ribosomal RNA", at positions 524 to 776 of the family's 1533-position model. The record is from RNAcentral.
UACGUAGGGGGCUAGCGUUGUCCGGAAUCAUUGGGCGUAAAGAGCGUGUAGGCGGUCCGGUAAGUCCGCUGUGAAAGUCGGGGGCUCAACCUCGAAUGCCGGUGGAUACUGUCGGGCUAGAGUGCGGAAGAGGCGAGUGGAAUUCCUGGUGUAGCGGUGAAAUGCGCAGAUAUCAGGAGGAACACCUAUUGCGAAGGCAGCUCGCUGGGACGUAACUGACGCUGAGACGCGAAAGCGUGGGGAGCAAACAGG